RNAcentral lists this ribosomal RNA (494 nucleotides) under uncultured bacterium. RNAcentral describes it as "partial 16S ribosomal RNA". It matches the Rfam family "Bacterial small subunit ribosomal RNA", at positions 28 to 507 of the family's 1533-position model. The record is from RNAcentral.
GACGAACGCUGGCGGCGCGCUUAACACAUGCAAGUCGAACGGAAAGGCCUGCUUUCCCUUGUGGAUUGCGGGUACUCGAGUGGCGAACGGGUGAGUAACACGUGAGUGAUCUGCCCCCAACUUGGGUAUAAGCCUGGGAAACUGGGUCUAAUUCCCGAUAGGACUGCAGGGUGGUGCCUGUGGUGGAAAACGAUUUUCUAGUGGUUGGGGAUGAGUUCGCGGCCUAUCAGCUUGUUGGUGGGGUAAUGGCCUACCAAGGCGGCGACGGGUAGCCGGCCUGAGAGGGUGGACGGCCACAUUGGGACUGAGAUACGGCCCAGACUCCUACGGGAGGCAGCAGUGGGGAAUAGUGCACAAUGGGCGGAAGCCUGAUGCAGCGACGCCGCGUGGGGGAUGACGGCCUUCGGGUGGUAAACUCCUUUCGACCGCGAGGAAGCCACCUGGUUGGAAGGGUGGUGACGGUAGUGGUAGAAGAAGCACCGGCUAACUACGUG